RNAcentral lists this ribosomal RNA (287 nucleotides) under uncultured bacterium. Its description in RNAcentral is "partial 16S ribosomal RNA". It matches the Rfam family "Bacterial small subunit ribosomal RNA", at positions 72 to 353 of the family's 1533-position model. The record is from RNAcentral.
AAGAAAGCUUGCUUUCUUUGCUGGCGACCGGCGCACGGGUGAGUAACACGUAUCCAACCUACCCUUUACUCGGGGAUAGCCUUUCGAAAGAAAGAUUAAUACCCGAUAGCAUAAUGAUUCCGCAUGGUUUCAUUAUUAAAGGAUUCCGGUAAAGGAGUGGGGAUGCGUUCCAUUAGGUUGUUGGUGGGGUAACGGCCCACCAAGCCUUCGAUGGAUAGGGGUUCUGAGAGGAAGGUCCCCCACAUUGGAACUGAGACACGGUCCAAACUCCUACGGGAGGCAGCAUG